UGGGGAAUAUUGCACAAUGGAGGAAACUCUGAUGCAGCAACGCCGCGUGGAGGAUGACGCAUUUCGGUGUGUAAACUCCUUUUAUAAGGGAAGAUAAUGACGGUACCUUAUGAAUAAGUACCGGCUAACUCCGUGCCAGCAGCCGCGGUAAUACGGAGGGUGCAAGCGUUACUCGGAAUCACUGGGCGGAAAGGGUGCGUAGGCUGGAAAUCAAGUCGAGAGUGAAAUCCAACGGCUCAACCGGUGAACUGCUCUCGAAACUGGUCACCUAGAAUAUGGGAGAGGUAGAUGGAAUUGGUGGUGUAGGGGUAAAAUCCGUAGAUAUCACCAGGAAUACCGAUUGCGAAGGCGAUCUACUGGAACAUUAUUGACGCUGAGGCAUGAAAGCGUGGGGAGCAAACA
This 402-nucleotide ribosomal RNA is filed under the name uncultured prokaryote. RNAcentral's name for it is "bacterial SSU rRNA". It matches the Rfam family "Bacterial small subunit ribosomal RNA", at positions 355 to 774 of the family's 1533-position model. The record is from RNAcentral.